This 142-nucleotide microRNA precursor is filed under the name Choloepus hoffmanni (Hoffmann's two-fingered sloth). RNAcentral's name for it is "miRNA (ENSCHOG00000014361.1)". The stretch from base 44 to 94 matches the Rfam family "mir-1302 microRNA precursor family". Lineage: Eukaryota; Metazoa; Chordata; Mammalia; Pilosa; Megalonychidae. The record is from RNAcentral.
AAUGCAAGAUGCCCAUUUAAAUUUGAAUUUCAGAUAACUAAAUUUUUUAGAAUAAUAUGUCCCAUGCAAUGUUUAGGACAUACUUAUACUAAAAAUUUGUUGUUUAUUUGAAAUUCAGUUUUAACUGGGCAUCUUUUAUUUU